UUUCCGUAGAUGAACCUGCGGAAGGAUCAUUAAUGAGUUGUCAUGGGGUUCGAUGCUGGCAGCCAGUUUUUGGAUGCAUGUGCUUGCCCUAACAAUCAUCUUCUUCCAAACACCUGUGCACAUUUUUGAGGGAGUCUUGAGUUGGUUGCCGCUCUUGGGUGAUUUUCUCACAUUCCCUUAAAUCAUUAUACGCUAUUAACAAUGUUGAACGUGCUCUGUGCCGCAAGGCCAUUAAUAUAAUACAACUUUUAACAACGGAUCUCUUGGCUCUC
This 272-nucleotide unclassified non-coding RNA is filed under the name plant metagenome. RNAcentral describes it as "partial contains small subunit ribosomal RNA, internal transcribed spacer 1, and 5.8S ribosomal RNA". The record is from RNAcentral.